This 600-nucleotide ribosomal RNA is filed under the name Beauveria malawiensis. RNAcentral's name for it is "eukaryotic LSU rRNA". The stretch from base 222 to 375 matches the Rfam family "5.8S ribosomal RNA". Lineage: Eukaryota; Fungi; Ascomycota; Sordariomycetes; Hypocreales; Cordycipitaceae. The record is from RNAcentral.
UUGGAAGUAAAAGGUUCGUAACAAGGUCUCCGUUGGUGAACCAGCGGAGGGAUCAUUACCGAGUUUACAACUCCCAAACCCUUAUGUGAACCUACCUACUGUUGCUUCGGCGGACUCGCCCCAGCCGGACGCGGACUGGACCAGGCGGCCGCCGGAGACCCCCAAACUCUUGUAUUAUCAGCAUCUUCUGAAUACGCCGCAAGGCAAAACAAAUAAAUUAAAACUUUCAACAACGGAUCUCUUGGCUCUGGCAUCGAUGAAGAACGCAGCGAAACGCGAUAAGUAAUGUGAAUUGCAGAAUCCAGUGAAUCAUCGAAUCUUUGAACGCACAUUGCGCCCGCCAGCAUUCUGGCGGGCAUGCCUGUUCGAGCGUCAUUUCAACCCUCGACUUCCCCUUGGGGAAGUCGGCGUUGGGGACCGGCAGCCCACCGCCGGCCCCGAAAUGGAGUGGCGGCCCGUCCGCGGCGACCUCUGCGCAGUAAUCCAACUCGCACCGGAAACCCGACGUGGCCACGCCGUAAAACACCCAACUUCUGAACGUUGACCUCGAAUCAGGUAGGACUACCCGCUGAACUUAAGCAUAUCAUUAAAGCGGAGGAA